AGCUUUGUGCAGUGGCAUUAUUAUAGCCAAUAAGGUUUAUCCAAGGUGCGAUUAUUAAUUGAAAAAAACUAUAGACUAUCCAAG
Molecule: small nuclear RNA, 84 nt
Filed under: Cavia porcellus (domestic guinea pig)
Lineage: Eukaryota; Metazoa; Chordata; Mammalia; Rodentia; Caviidae
Description: U4 spliceosomal RNA (ENSCPOG00000027902.2)
Source: RNAcentral